This 253-nucleotide ribosomal RNA is filed under the name uncultured bacterium. Its description in RNAcentral is "partial 16S ribosomal RNA". It matches the Rfam family "Bacterial small subunit ribosomal RNA", at positions 524 to 776 of the family's 1533-position model. The record is from RNAcentral.
UACGGAGGGUGCAAGCGUUAUCCGGAUUCACUGGGCUUAAAGGGCGCGUAGGCGGGCCGCCAAGUUCGAGGUGAAAUCCUCCGGCUCAACCGGAGAACUGCCUCGAAUACUGGAGGCCUCGAGGCGGGUAGGGGCGUGCGGAACUGUGGGUGGAGCGGUGAAAUGCUUAGAUAUGACAUAGAACACCAAUUGCGAAGGCAGCUCGCUACUCAAUUAUUGACUCUGAGGCACGAAAGCGUGGGGAUCAAACAGG